Molecule: long non-coding RNA, 900 nt
Organism: Macrobrachium nipponense
Lineage: Eukaryota; Metazoa; Arthropoda; Malacostraca; Decapoda; Palaemonidae
Exons: 2
Source: RefSeq, a predicted model, not a curated record
CAACUUUAUCAGUCAAGAACAACAAACUGUCAACCCAAGAAAGAUCUGGGUUUCUUCAAGAUCCUUCCUUCAAGAUAGGAGCAGCUUUAAAAAUGUACUUAAUUCAGCCCACCAUGUCACAAUUGCUACAUUUCUAUUCUGGGCCAUUGGCAGUCUUCAGAAGUAAUUUCAUCUUAAUGAUCUUGAGAUCAAAUGUCAUCUUGGCAGUUCACAUUCAUAUACCAGAAAAUUCUUAGGUAUGUCACAUUAAACAGCAUUGGCCGAUGUGAAAUGUACAGGAAAUAUCAGUUCUCAUGGCAGCAGUUGUCAAGUUUUCAUUUUUUUUAUUUGAAAGUCCAGGCCUCCAGUCAGGUGCUGAUGGUAUCAGAGGAACAUUGAGGACUUUACUUUGUUUUGAAAAAACAAAAUGUAUUUUUUUCAUAUUUUUCCUUUGUAAUAUUUUUGUAAAAAAAUAAAAAUAUAGAAAGUUUGCAUUUUAAUGAUGCUGUCUUAAUUAAUUAUAAAUGUGCUGGCAUAAGGCAAAGGGUAAUUAUGAAUAUUUUAAAAGAUUAAAUAACAAAAGUACAGUUAAGUGAUUCCCUUUAUUUCACUUAGAUCAUCCUGAGGAGGAGUUCGUUGAUCUUCUCCUCCCUGUUGCCAAAGUCACCACCUUCUACGUAGUGAGUGGUCUUCUUUCUCCAUCCACCAGUUGGGUUGUUCAGCUGGAAGGAAACCACAUGCCAUUAACACCUCUCUCAAAGAAUAAUAUGCCACAACAUAUGAAAUUCAUAAUGAUAAAACUACUGCUGCAAUUUGACAUUAUCCCAUUCUGUAAUUGAACAAAACAAUGACCGUUGUCUUUAUGUUUAACAUGUACUUCACGUUGUCAUCCCUUUCCCAAUUUUAAAACUAUUAACUGUU